AUUGAACGCUGGCGGCAGGCCUAACACAUGCAAGUCGAGCGGGGUUUUCGGACCUAGCGGCGGACGGGUGAGUAAUGCGUAGGAAGCUACCCGACAGAGGGGGAUACCAGUUGGAAACGACUGUUAAUACCGCAUAAUGUCUACGGACCAAAGUGUGGGACCUUCGGGCCACAUGCUGUCGGAUGCGCCUACGUGGGAUUAGCUAGUUGGUGAGGUAAUGGCUCACCAAGGCGACGAUCCCUAGCUGGUUUGAGAGGAUGAUCAGCCACACUGGAACUGAGACACGGUCCAGACUCCUACGGGAGGCAGCAGUGGGGAAUAUUGGACAAUGGGCGGCAAGCCUGAUCCAGCCAUGCCGCGUGUGUGAAGAAGGCC
RNAcentral lists this ribosomal RNA (375 nucleotides) under uncultured bacterium. RNAcentral's name for it is "bacterial SSU rRNA". It matches the Rfam family "Bacterial small subunit ribosomal RNA", at positions 30 to 416 of the family's 1533-position model. The record is from RNAcentral.